CCGGACCACCAGUCUCCCUCAGGCCGCCAGAAGAGAAGGAGGUUUGCACGCGUGUGUGUGUGUGCGUGUGUGUGUGCGCGCGCGUCUCUCCAGUGACCAUAGUUUCUCUCCACCUCCUCCUCCUCCUCCUGCAUGUAUCGAUUUUGAGGGAAGAAGAAGAGGAGGAGGAGGAGGAGAAGAAGAAGAGAGAAGAUAAAUUUGGAAAAAGACUAAACGACCUACCACUCCCUCUCACUUGAAGAGAGAGGGAGAGGGAGAAAGCGAGAGAAAGAAAGAGAGAGAGAGAAAUGAAGAAAACCGGAUGUUAUCUCUCAUUUAUCAUCGUCUUUUCUUUCAUCUUCUUUCUUUAUUUGAUUCCUUCAUCACAAUGGGGAGAUAAUGAUGCAAGAGAUGACAGAAGAGGAGAAGGAGGAGAGGAAGGAAGAGGAGUAGGAGGAGGAGGAGGAGGAGGAGAGUCUAUCCUUCCGUUCAAUUUUCCUCAUCCAGUAGAAACGAUGACUGACCAAUCACCAUACAGCUUCUACGAGGAGGAGCGGAUGUACCAAACAGGGAGUGAAGGGGAGGUGGAGAAGGAGAUAGCGAUGAGAGAAAGUGUUUUGAUAUCUCACGCCAAACGGGCCGCCUCUCUUUCCAUUCAGCGGUCUCUCUCUCUCCCUGCAUUCAUUAGUGGCAGGUACCGAUGGCUACCAGACGGGGUGGAGCACGACCUCUUGUACACAGACAGGGACUCGGAGGUCACAAAAAGGGUCGUCUUAUUCCAGAAGCUGGGUCAGGCAGAGGUCGUUAGAGUCAUUGAGGUGGAGAGUGUCAAGCCUAUUCACAUUAUCAUCGCUCUUAAGGGACGUUUGGACAAAUACACAACAUUUCUGCAUCAUCUGGCUACCACAAUCUUGCCACACGAUCCACACCUCACUCUCACAGUCAGUUACUUCGACACCAACAUUGAACUGGCUAGGAACAUCACUGCAGCUCAAAUGGCCAGCUUCCCCAACUUCAAAUGGACGCUGGUGCCGCAAGGAGAUGCCUCGGGGCCCCAGGGGUUCUCCAGGGGCAAGGGUCUUCACGUGGCUGCCGUCAAAGCAACGAAAAAGAAAAGUGAUAUAAUAUUUUUCUGUGAUGUUGAUGUGCUAAUGAAACUUGAUUUCCUGACGAGAUGCAGGGCUAACGCGCUGUAUGGGAGGCAGGUAUACUACCCAAUGGUCUUUUCGCUGUACAACCCGAAGCUGGUGUACCCCCUGCAAGACCAGAAGGUACCCCCUAUUCCUGAACAACUCAAGGUCACAGAGGAAACUGGAUUUUGGCGCAAAUUUGGUUUUGGAAUGACUUGCAUGGCCAGGGGGGACUACGAGGCUGCUGGGGGGUUCCUGGAUAUCAGAGUGUGGGGGGGGAAGACGAGGCUCUAUAUCAGCAGUUUCUUAUGAAGGAUUAUAUUAAGGUGAUCCGCACCCCUGAUCCAUCUCUCUUCCAUCUGUACCACAAGAAGGAAUGUGUGGAGACGGGAGAUGCUGCUUAUGUGUCGUGUCUAAAGUCCUUCGCCAACACUGAGGGCUCGAAGACACAGCUCGGACUGGCAGUACUCAAGAUGCAGCAUGGGACUGAUAUUGAGGGUGUGCUUAGUAAGAGGUUCUACUAUUUCUGGCUGGUUCCUUACUUAAGUGGCCUGCUGGUGGUGUCCCUGCUAACCAACGCUAUCCUGGCCCUCCUGCUGGUGAUCUUCGUCCGCAGAAUGUACGGAUUCAAGAUUCUAUAGGGUGUAACAAGCCGUGACGUGAAAGUACAGCAUCAAGAGGCGGUACAGGUGUUAUAGGAAAUUGUGGUUAGGUCAUCUUCACCUGUCUAGUCUGCUGCGGUGUACGUGUGUGUGUCCGAAGGCUAUACACGCAUACACGCACACAAACGUACGAGGUUGUGCCAUAUUUUUUAUCUUGGGUGUAGAAAAUGUUGUUGUUUUUUGUUUUGCUGUGUACGUUCAUAUAUACGUCUCCUCCCUGUUGUCCCCCCUCCCAUACAGGUGAGAGAUCAAGAGUAUUAGUGUUAAUUGUACCUGCAUAGACUUGUAUAGUAUUAUUGUUGUAUUACCCUCCAGGGCAUUGCAGUAUCAAUUUUUUUCCCUCCACUAGUUUGGUUUUCCUUCAUAUCUUCCUCCAUGUUUUACCUCCACACUUGUCCUCCCUCACAGACCUUCCUUGAUCUUUCCUCCACCUUUCCACCAAACCACAACACCCUACCACACUUACUUCUCCAUAAAAAAAAACAAUAAUAAUAAUAAUUUAUUGGAUUCAUCACAGACAAUUUUUUUCCUCCACCACUAGUUCAUUUUUCCUUCAUAUCUUCCUCCAUGUUUUACCUCCACACCUGUCCUCCCUCACAGACCUUCCUUAAUCUUUCCUCCACCCCUCCACCAAACCACAACACCCUACCACACUUACUUCUCCACAAAAAAAACAAUAAUCUAUCGGACUGUCACAUCACAGGCAAUUUUUUUCCUCCACCAUGUUCAUUUUUCCUUUAUAUCUUCCUCCAUGUUUUACCUCCACACCUGUCCUCCCUCACAGACCUUCCUUAAUCUUUCCUCCACCCCUCCACCAAACCACAACACCCUACCACACUUACUUCUCCACAAAAA
RNA transcript from Scylla paramamosain (green mud crab), 2626 nucleotides. It is a transcript of the gene named chondroitin sulfate N-acetylgalactosaminyltransferase 2-like, with no coding region annotated. NCBI's taxonomy places the organism in Eukaryota, Metazoa, Arthropoda, Malacostraca, Decapoda, Portunidae. The transcript is spliced from 9 exons. The record is from RefSeq and is a predicted model, not a curated record.